GCCCUGAUAGCUCAAUCGGUAGAGCGUGCGGCUUUUAACCGCAAGGUUCGGGGUUCGAUCCCCCGUUGGGGCG
Rozella allomycis CSF55 is the source of this 73-nucleotide transfer RNA. It matches the Rfam family "tRNA". Rfam says of the family: Transfer RNA (tRNA) molecules are approximately 80 nucleotides in length. The record is from Rfam. NCBI's taxonomy places the organism in Eukaryota, Fungi, Rozellomycota.